UUAUUGCAAGCCCAUGAUAUAAAUCAUCCAGGAGAGGCCAGGGAAGACCAGCUUCUGAGCUUAUUUAUUGUAGAAAAGAUUGGCAUUAAUGAGCUGGAGGAGCAGAACGCAUCCAUCAGGGCUGAAAACACCAGCCUGUCCUUCAAGGGAGUGAGAUGAAAGAAAACAAGUGGCAUCCAGAGGAACUUCACAAUCCUCUCUCUAAUGGGGACUGCAAGAUGCCAUCUGACAUUGGAUAUUUGAACAUCCCAGGGAGCACAAGCUGAGCCCCAGGUCUCUUCUACUCAAAUCCAGGAGCUGAUGCAUGUAAAGCUGAGAUUUUCCCUGAGAAUCUGGAAGUGAAGCUGAAAUCGCUUCAGUGAAAAGUGAGCCAGCAUGGGGGAAAGUGCAAUCAUAAUCUAUCCAAGCACAGAGGUUUUCCAGAUCCACUCACCACCAGAGCAGGAUUCUUCGAGCAAUACCCAUGAAUGAACAAAUGCAGAACAGCUGUGUGCCAGCCUACGGUUUGGCAUCAGGAGCUCAUUUUCCUUUUCUCUGUCAUUAUUACCACAAACUCCACAGGUCUUUCCUCUCAUCCAGGAAGCAACUGUAACCUGCAAAGCAACACAUCUUUGUAGUGAAUGCUGAAGUGUUGGUCUGACACACGGGCAAGCACUGGGCAGAAAGGAAGCAGUAACCUUGAAAGUAAGUGCAGUACCUUAAGAUUUACACCAUCAAAAGUCACCUGCUUCAGCCCGAGUUCUGGAACUUCCACAGCAACUGUGUUUUCAAUUUUAUAAAUUUUGACAUUGCCUGUAAAAAAGAUGGUGAAUCAUACAGUGAUCAUCUUAAAUUAACGGAGAGACUGUAACACAAAACUCACCACAAUGCGUUUUCCUUCACAAUGAUCAUUUUGCUGCUACAGUUAAAUAUGUAUAUUUAAGUGGAGAGGAAAAACAAAAAUAGAAGAAAUAAUAUAUUUUCAAAAAUGUUCCACUGCUGUUACCCAUAGUUGGAACUGACUUCUGUAUCCAGUGCUAAAUUUUGAGAUGAUAAUGACAGUGGUGGUGCUCCAGCUAAAUGUCUGAACUAAAGCAUCUCUCUGUGACUAUAACAUGAACUUUUUUCUGAACAAUCACCAAGCUGGGUAUAUUAUAAGAAAGGGUUUUAUUCGCCUGUCAUUUAUGCUGGAGGAGUAGUAGUAAGAGUGUAUAUACUAUAGGAAACAUGAACAUAAGUCACUACAAAACUUAAGAAAGUAGUCUCUAGUUUUCUCUUUGAAUUAAUUCUAUUUGUGUUUUCUUUACACUGAGAUCUUUCUGUGAAAUUUAUAAAACCUUGCUAUUUAGUUCCCAGGUCAGUCCUGGAAAACUGGGUUUCACAGCUUACCUUUUUCAUACUCAGAAUCUUCACUGUGUGAUAGAACUCGUUCUUCAUUGCAUGCCACAAGGAGAGAUGAAUUUGAGGCAGGACAGAUUGUGAUGUUCCUUCAAAAAAAGCAAAAAUGAAAGAGAAUAAAUAAGUGGUUAAAUGGGAAAAGUAUAGAUAUUUGUGACUAUCUGAAUUUGAAUGAAUGAACAAGCAGUUUUCUUUCCAAAGUGCAAAAUUUAUUGGGACUGUGGGCUUUAAUAUUCAACCUUUAAAGAAAGACAGCAUAGGGAAUUAUUGAGCAAGCUAUCAGAUAUUGGUGGCUGUGGAAUUCAAGACAAGAGCAACUACACCAUAGAGCCUCAGACAAGGAUUCCUUCUGGAAAUUCUGUCUUUCCCCAUAUGUCUUAUUAAAAACUAGUUUCAGCUAGAAACUAGAUAUCUCUUAGUCCCAGACUAACUCCCUGAGAAACUUUGCACCUUAAUUCUAAGCCUCAGUAUAAAUCACACUUACGCUGAUGUUGUGUUUAUGUGAACCUCUCUUGAGAAAGACUGAGGAUCAACCUUCCUUGUAGUAAUGAUGAACUUUGGGUAUUCAGUACAGUCUUGUACCACCACCAGGUUGCAGCUUUUAUUGAAAGAAUAUGAAUAGCUCACACGAUCAAAUGUUUUGAAAUCUCUCUCCCUGAUUUCACAUGUGGCUGCAAAACAAAAUCACAAAAGAAAUGGCAGAUGUGACCACUGUAUGUGUUGCUGGGAAGUACUGAAAGACAUCUCCAUGAAAUUGAGCUACCCAGCAAACAGGAAGAAAACUUCACCUCCUUGGCAGAAGCCAGAGUCUGUAAGGACAUGAGAACACUACAAAAUAACUACCUGCUGUAGAUUUUACCAGUAUUGAUUUUGAUUGCAUGCCAAACACAAAACUCAAGCUAACAGGGACGAAAAUGUACAAAAUCCUUGAGAAACUGGAUGCCAUAACAAACUGUCAUAAAAAUUCCCCAUUUCCCACAGGAGUGCUAGGAGAGACUUAUGUGGCUCCUUUUUGAAUAAAAUAAACUGAACAGAAAAUAUGUGGACUCUCUUGUGCCCAUCACUCGAUGCCUCUCAAUGCAGAGCUGGCACCUUCUCAGGAGGGGCAAAAGACAACCUCUAGUCCUUGAAGACAGGAGUGAUUCCCAAACUCUGGAUUUUUACAGCAGUUUGAAGCCUCCUCAUUCACCUGCCAAAAACCUGCUUCUCUGUGAGGGAAUGACCUGCUGGAAGCAGGGCUGCAGAUGCAUGCUGUGCUUCCCUGUAAGACCAUUAGAAAGAAAGGCAAGGCCCAGCCAUGGCAGAGCAUGGAUCUACACACAUCGCUUAUUCAUGAGACAAACAUAUAAGUAACAUUUACAUUGAUCUUCUUGUGCUAUUUGUGAAGCUAUUUCAGGAAAUAAAUUCCAGGCAGUGAUAUCUCGAGUCUCGUAAGCUGGAGAUGGGCCUAAGGGCAGAGAGAAUGGCAAUCGAGAUCCCUGACAAUAAAGUGUUACCUGAAAAAGCAGAAAGGAAAAUGCAUUAAGAUAAAUUGAACCAUAUGCUCAAGAUAUGACUGCAAAAAAAACCCCACUCUUAUCUUGGAAAAAAAACCCUUGAAGAUGCAUUUCUGCAAUUGCAGUUGUGUUAGUCUCGGCAGAAUGAACGUACCCUAACCUUCAGCUCUUGCGAGAAAUCAUCAUAAUCUCUUCUAGCCAUACUUGACUUUUUGAGAAAUUGUUGAGAACACUGAAAAGUAACUGAUAGAGAUGAGCUUAAGUGAUAUUUGAGUGACUUCUUAAAAAAUAAGUUAACAAGUUGAGUAACUGAGAUGAUGGAUGUGUUUGGAAAAAUGAAUCUCAUCCAUUAAGGGCUGAAAACUGGCAUGUUCAGCAUUGGGGAGAGGACUGGACUAUAAUUUCUCUUUGCCUUCUCCAAGACUUCCUGAUUUGAACCCACCCCACUUUCUUCAAUACUGAAUAUCAUGCUGAAAUUGUUAAUUGCAGCUGCAAAAAGCAGAGGUUUAUAAAUUUUUGCACAAGCAAUUGCUCCAAAAAGCUCAUGGGAAGCACAGCACAGGGAUAUGCAAAAAGAGUAAGGAUCUCCUCCUUCAUUUAUGAUGCUCUCUUUGGCAUCAACCUGUUAGCCAACUUUGCUUUUUCCAUCUUUUCAUAUAAAUCCUAAGAAAUCAA
Serinus canaria (Common canary) is the source of this 3548-nucleotide long non-coding RNA. RefSeq lists it as uncharacterized. The transcript has 6 exons. The record is from RefSeq and is a predicted model, not a curated record. NCBI's taxonomy places the organism in Eukaryota, Metazoa, Chordata, Aves, Passeriformes, Fringillidae.